UCCCAGCCUUCCCACUGGCUAGUGAGCUGUUGGAGGAAAAGGUGCUUGAGUUUUUCAUCUUGUGCCUCUUUCCCGCAUAGCACUGUACCUUGCACGUUCUAAGCCUCCUCAAAAGAGUGUGUGGAUCCAAAUGGCAGCUUUUCAGGAACUGUUUUUAAUUUUCUUUGAGAAGAACAGACAAAGUGAAGGCUCAGAAAUGAGAAAGGCCCUCCUCUGCUGCUGCUAAGUUGCUUCAGUCGUGUCUGACUCUGUGCGACCCUAUAGAUGGCAGCCCACCAGGCUCCACCGUCCCUGGGAUUCUCCAGGCAAGAACAAUGGAGUGGGUU
RNAcentral lists this long non-coding RNA (326 nucleotides) under Bos indicus x Bos taurus (hybrid cattle). RNAcentral describes it as "lncRNA (ENSBIXG00005018297.1)". Lineage: Eukaryota; Metazoa; Chordata; Mammalia; Artiodactyla; Bovidae. The record is from RNAcentral.